CACUUAUCAAGAAAGGCGGAGGGACAGGCCCUGUGAAGCCUUAGCAACCAGUAGCAAUACCAGGUGCUAAAUCCUGUUCUGAGAAGGCCGCGGCCGACUUAGAAGAAGAUAAGUU
RNAcentral lists this non-coding RNA (115 nucleotides) under Hymenobacter crusticola. RNAcentral describes it as "Hymenobacter sp. MIMBbqt21 SAM riboswitch aptamer (S box leader)". It matches the Rfam family "SAM riboswitch aptamer (S box leader)". Rfam says of the family: The SAM riboswitch is found upstream of a number of genes which code for proteins involved in methionine or cysteine biosynthesis in Gram-positive bacteria. The record is from Rfam by way of RNAcentral. RNAcentral also lists the same sequence under 1 other name. Lineage: Bacteria; Pseudomonadati; Bacteroidota; Cytophagia; Cytophagales; Hymenobacteraceae.